AUCCUUGGGAGAAUGGAGCUGGCUCAGCCUCUGCUAAGACUAGAAUUCCCUUGGCUCGUGUUUUCCAGCUCACAGAGAUCAGAUUUGCUUGCUUCUUGGUUGUCUGCCCUUUGCUUCCUUUAAGGUGCAGGAUGAUGGAGUGAUCUACCGUCUUCGUUUGCCAAAGCUCCAUCGCUCAUCAUUCGUUCAAGAGGACGCUUGUUUCUUGUCAAGUAUCUUGUAUUACCCAAUUUAGUUUUUAAAGGUUAUUUGCAUGUCCCAGAUCAUGCUAACGAGUCAGCAGGCACCCACGAUGGUUUGUCACUGAGUUAGGUAAUGAGGCAGGAUAACCAAGGAUACCCAGGUGUGGUAGGUACCUGUCAUCAAAUUGAACAAGGGGUAUGAGAGUCACAUGCAAGGAAGGGUGUGAGAUUAAUGCAAGGAAGAUGAUUUUUAGGAACUCUCAGAGUAGUGGGGGCAAGCAAGGCCUUGAGGGAUCUGGGAAGACUGCGUGGAGGAGGUGAGCUGUGAGGAGGAUGGGUAAGCCCAUGCAUUCCAGCAGGGAAAGAGCAUGAGAAGGGUCUGGGUCGAUGACUAACUGAACAAGGAAUAAUGUAAAUGGGCUGUCCUUUGGGGUAUCCUGACCCCCAGGUAUGUUGAUAAACUCGGUGCAAACAUGUAUCCCAAGCCUUCUCAGAGCUUACCUCUUGGGGAAAGGGGAAAUGCUUUCUCAAGAUCACCUGAGGCAUCUUGCCGACAGCAUCCCUGUUCCAACUCAUUUCUAGGGGCCAGUGGGACACCCGCUGUGAGGGUGACCCUAAGCUGCCUCUUUGCACUUACAGCACUCGGCUCUGAGUGUGAGUGUGUACUUCCGUGCAGUGAGGUCUCUGGUAAAUGGCUGGUUGCUGCUAGUAUCCUUAGACUUCCUCUGACCUCUUCCCCUGCUGCAUCCCCAUCUCAUUCCAAUGGUCUCUGGAGCAUCCAUGUGUCCGCAGGGCUUAUUGUCUCCUGAGCGGAUGGAGAAACGCCCAGCUGAAACGUUAGGAUUGGUUAGCCAUCUGGCAGAUCUAUUAUCUGAACUAAAUAGAUGGCAGGCUGAAGGUUCAGAAACUCCCAGUUCCCAUCUGGUGUGUGGAAAGAUCCGAAUCCUGAAUCAAGAGCUUCAGAGCCCGCUUGCCACUAGGACGGACUGUCCUCUGGAUCUGUGCCGGACACCAAUGAGAUCAGUGUCACAGGUGUGACAGCUCAUUUGGCUCUAGUGAUGGAUUGGCUGGGGUGUGGGGGGAGGCUGACCAUAAGGGCAGCGAGUCCUCGGUUUUGUGGCAUUUAUCAGAAGCAUCAAGAGAUGCCAAGGGUGAGUGUUCUGUCGGAAUAGGAGUCACAGGGAAAGAACAUUAGGAGCUCAUCUCGGUAUUAAAGAUGUCUUUUCAGAAGGGCCACAUGUGACGAUUCACAUCACCUAUUCAAAAACUCUGAUACGUGGCCUACCCCAGCUGUUCUCGUGGAUUGAAUGCACCAUUCAAGCAUGGGGAGGAGUCAAACAUUCUCUGCUCCAGCUCAUUGCUGUUCUGGACACACGUCUCCUCCUUCAGAGUUCAGGUCAAUACCCUUCCACCCUCCAGAUCCUCCUCCCUUUAGGCUUUUGCUCAAAGAGCUCCUUGCCAAGAAUGCAUCCUGUGGUGGGCAAGCUUCAGCUUGGGAGCCUGGGAGCUGUUUGUAUUUCCUGAGAGGUUUACCGGAGGAAGGAGGACCUACCCUGAAAGUGGGUGUCGUCAUCCCAUGGACCUGGAAGUCUCAAAUGGAAUAAGAAGGAGAAAAACGAGGAGGCCAACUGAGUACCAGCACUCACCUCUCUGCUUCCUGUCUGUGGUUGCAAUGUGACCGUCCCGAAAUGCUCUUGCCUCUGCGUCUUCAGCAGUGAGAUGCACUGUAUCCUCGAAUUAUGAGCCCAAACAAAACCCUCCCUCUUUACAUUGCCUCUUGUCAGAUAUCUGGGUACAACAGGCAACGGUAACUAAUACACCUCCGAAGGUCACCCAUUAAAGACUGCAGUCCCCUCAACACAUUCACUUUUAUCUUACUUGACCAUCUGAUAUAUGCCUGAUAUUUAUCCGUAUGCAUCUGUACCUAUUCCCAUAUAUAUAUAUAUCUCAAGGUUUUAAAAGGAUAGGAAAAUGCAGGUGACAUUUAUCAACCGUUUUUCAGCACGCAGCUCGGUGAAAUUAAGUAGAUUCACAACAGUGGACAAUGGUUACCACACUUCUCUAAACCUCGUUUCAUUUUGCAGAAUGGAAACUCUGAACCUGUAACACAAUCACCUUUCCCCCUCCCCCAGGCUCCAGAAGGCUUCGUUCUGCUCACUCUCUGUCCCUGAUAAUUUGGCUGUUCAUAUUAAAUGGAAUAAUCCAAUAUUUGUCUUCUGGGGACUGGCUUAUCUUGCUUGGCAUACUGUUUCAAUUUUAUCCCACACGGGGUCAGGAUUUUUUUUUUUUUUUUUGCCUGAACAAUGCUGCAUCAUACACAUGCAUCAGUUUUGCUCAUCUAUCCAUCCCUUGAAGGACUGGGUUGCUUCCUCUCUUUGGCGGUUGUGAGUAAUGCUGCUGUAAGCACGGACAUACACACAGCUCCUCAAGAUCCUGUUUUUAGGUCCCAUGGUGCACAUUCAGAAGUGGAAUGCUUGGGUAUGUGGUAAUUCUGUGUUCGGUUUUUGGGGAGCGGCCAUUUUGUUCUCCACAGCAUCGGUAACAUUCAUGUUCCGACAGUGCACACAGGCUCCCGUUUCUCCUCAUCCUCACCAGCGCUUGCCAUCCAUUUCUUUGUCAGCAGUCGCCCUGAUGGCUGUGACAGGACAACUCUUCAUAGUUCUGCUUUGCUUUUCUCCAGUGAUUAAUGGGAUUGAAUAUGUUUUUCCAUGCUUGUGGGUAUUUGCAUAUCUUCUUUGAAGAAUUGUCUAAACCAGUGGUUCUCAAACUUCCUAAGGCUGCGACCCUUUAAUACAGUUCCUCACGUUGUAGUGACCCCCAACCACAACAUUAUUUUUGUUGCUACUUUAUAACUGUAAUUUUGUUACUGUUAUGAAUCAUAAUGUCAUAAUCAUAAUGAAUCAUAUUUUAGGGAAAUAAGAGGUUUGUCAAGGGGGUCGUGACCCACAGGUUGAGAACCAGUGGAACCAGCGCUUAAGCCCUUUGUUUUUUGUUUUUUUUGUUUUUUUUUUUUAUGGUGCUAGGCAUUGAACUUAGGAUCAUGUGACACCAGGCGAGUCCUCUGCCACUGAGCCACAGACCCAGCCUUUGCCAAUUUUUAAAGUCAGGCUCUGUAGUCAUUUUUGUUACUGCUCUAAGUUGUAAGUGUUCUUUAAAUAUUCUGUGUCUGGAAAAUGUUUUAAAUAAAUUAAUUAACCAUUUUUCUUUUUAGAACAAGCUUUUUGAGAUAUUCUCACCAUGUAGCCUUGGCUGACCUCAAACUCAAGAUUUCCCUGCCUCAGUAUCUUGGGUUUGGGGAUUAUAGGUGUGAGCCAACACACCUAGCUCAUACCUGGUGUAUUUUGAAUAAGGUGUUAUUAAGUUGGGGCUGUAGCUCAGUUGGUAAAAUGCUUGCCUAGCAUGCAUGAGGCCCUGGGUUCGAUACCCAGCUUUCCUAAACCAGGAAUAGUGCACACACUUGUAAUCCUAGCCCUUGGGAAGUGGAGGCAGGAGGAUCAGAAGUUCAAGAUCAUCCUCAGCUACAGGAACUCGGUCUUAAACAAACAAAUAAUUAAAAACCAAAAAGACGUUAUUCAUAAUAAUAUCUUAUAUAAUAUUAUCAAUUGAUUAAAAUCAGAAGUAUUUGUUUGUUUUCUUCAUUGCUGCAAGCUCAACACUUAGCACCAUGCUAGGCACAAGUGGAUGCUAUAUGAUAUGCUAUAUGAAUGAUAGUAUGUACUAUGAUGUAAUAGG
Peromyscus maniculatus bairdii (prairie deer mouse) is the source of this 3914-nucleotide non-coding RNA. Lineage: Eukaryota; Metazoa; Chordata; Mammalia; Rodentia; Cricetidae. The record is from RefSeq and is a predicted model, not a curated record.